UUAGAUAUUUGGUGAUGAGUAUAUGUGAUAGCAGUAUGGACUCUUUUGCAUUUGAUAAACAACUUAAAUAUUAUCUCUUAAAGGAGAAAUUCCUGACAGCCCUACAGAGCGUCAGAAGAUAAAACGGGCGUCUACGAAUGAUACCCUCAAAGGUGAGAUCUUGUCACUGCUGCCAGCUGAAUGACCCCAUCAAACUGUUGUGCCAGUCUUGCAUUCCAUUAAGGUAAAAGAAGCUUGGGAGGUGCUUGGUUUAGAUUGAUUGAACCACUACCAGAAACACAA
Molecule: long non-coding RNA, 282 nt
Organism: Triplophysa rosa
Lineage: Eukaryota; Metazoa; Chordata; Actinopteri; Cypriniformes; Nemacheilidae
Exons: 3
Source: RefSeq, a predicted model, not a curated record